GAUGCUGCCUGGCCUGCUGCGUUCACCAGCAACUUUGAUGUGUGUUUCCAGUGGCUUCUGCUUUAAUGACAAGAUUCCAGCGUUAGCAGCGUGGAAAAGGCCCUUCCAGCCCUUCGAGCUGCACUGUCCUGUAACCUCCAAUUUAACCAUAGCCUAAUCACGGCUAAUUACUCUACCAACCAGUACGUCUUUGGACAGUGGGAGGAAGGUGGAGCAUCGAAGGAAACCCACACAGUCACGGGGAGAACAUGCAAGCUCCUAACAGACAGCGGCAGGAUUGUAAUUCGGGACACAGGAACAGGCCCAGGAUAUUUAAAAAGAAGGACCAGUUCCUGACAUACAUCUUCUUUACGGUUACACUGACUUAUCUGAAGGCAUAUGGAAGAACUGUGCAAUAGAGGGUGACAACAAAGUUUAUUAAAAAUUGCUACAGUAGCUUUAUAAGAUAAUGGAAUGUAAAUUACAAAAGUAUGAUUUGACAACAGAUUACAAAAUGGAUACACAGCUGAAUGUCGCCCAAGCAUUGAGCUGAAACUGCCUUGCUGAAACAGAUAGGCAAGAUGAGGAAGAUAACAAAGCAACCAUACACACGAUAUCCUUUCUCCCAAUAGCAAGAGACUCAGCGAGAUGACAAAGAAAAUGUAGAAAAUCCAGUAGUAACGAUCUGGAGCUCAUGCCUUCAAGACUGAGUCAAUCAAUGCUUUCGAAAACAAAUUGGAUAAGUACCCGAGGGAUAUAAUUUGCAGGGGCUCUUCCCUUAAAGGACCCAGAGAACUAAGUAUUUUUCCUACAACAGGCCAGUAAUUUCAUGAUUACCUUUACUAAUUAUAGAUUUUUUUUUAAAUCCCAGAUUCAUUAUCCCAAAUGCAGAUAAAAUCAAAAGUUGAUGCUGAGAUGCUAUAACAUUAAUACUUCCAUUUGUCAAGGGAUUGACAUUAGGCUUUGGAGCAUGAAAAAUCAUAUAUUGGUAAAGUGCCUCAAAGAAGGAAAGGAGUUACAAAUCCAAGGACUCAGCAAGAGAUGGCUUCUUCAAGUUUGUUAUGCUGUCAAUAUGCAAUAUACAUGCAAGCAAAAAGCCAAUUAAAGCACGUGACAUUUCAUGUCAAACUCUGGCAUAAGUUAUGCACUGAUAUAUUGGAAUUUAAUUUAAAUCAAUAUUUAAUCAUUGUAAACUACUUUUCAAUUUUUUUGAACUUAAUA
Molecule: long non-coding RNA, 1200 nt
Organism: Mobula hypostoma (lesser devil ray)
Lineage: Eukaryota; Metazoa; Chordata; Chondrichthyes; Myliobatiformes; Myliobatidae
Exons: 3
Source: RefSeq, a predicted model, not a curated record